This 460-nucleotide ribosomal RNA is filed under the name uncultured bacterium. RNAcentral's name for it is "partial 16S ribosomal RNA". It matches the Rfam family "Bacterial small subunit ribosomal RNA", at positions 338 to 795 of the family's 1533-position model. The record is from RNAcentral.
CCUACGGGAGGCAGCAGUGAGGAAUAUUGGUCAAUGGCCGUAAGGCUGAACCAGCCAAGUCGCGUGAAGGAAGAAGGAUCUAUGGUUUGUAAACUUAUUUUAUAGGGGAAUAAAGGUAUCCACGUGUGGAUAUUUGCAUGUACCCUAUGAAUAAGCAUCGGCUAACUCCGUUCCAGCAGCCGCGGUAAUACGGAGGAGGCGAACUUUAUCCGGAUUUAAUGGGUUUAAACGGUGCGUAGGUUGUUUUUUAAGUCAGCGGGGAAAGUUUGUGGCUCAACCAUAAAAUUGCCGUUGAAACUGGAAGACUUGAGUGUGUUUGAGGUAGGCGUAAUGCGUGGUGUAGCGGUGAAAUGCAUAGAUAUCACGCAGAACUCCGAUUGCGAAGGCAGCUUACUAAGCCAUAACUGACACUGAAGCACGAAAGCGUGGGGAUCAAACAGGAUUAGAUACCCCUGUAGUC